RNAcentral lists this transfer RNA (82 nucleotides) under Ixodes scapularis (black-legged tick). It matches the Rfam family "tRNA". From Rfam's summary of the family: Transfer RNA (tRNA) molecules are approximately 80 nucleotides in length. Their secondary structure includes four short double-helical elements and three loops (D, anti-codon, and T loops). The record is from Rfam by way of RNAcentral. Lineage: Eukaryota; Metazoa; Arthropoda; Arachnida; Ixodida; Ixodidae.
GCAGUCGUGGCUGAGUGGUUAAGGUGAUGGACUAGAAAUCCAUUGAGGUCUCCCCGCACAGGUUCGAAUCCUGUCGACUGCG